This is a non-coding RNA of Momordica charantia (bitter melon), 4438 nucleotides long. The record is from RefSeq and is a predicted model, not a curated record. NCBI's taxonomy places the organism in Eukaryota, Viridiplantae, Streptophyta, Magnoliopsida, Cucurbitales, Cucurbitaceae.
CCCUCUCAUUGGCGAAUCUUCAGUUCAUGAAGUCAACUAUCCAGGCUCUAAUCGCAUUCUGGGUACCACCACCGCUCUGUUUCACCCCAUUAUCAAUCUCGCUCUUUCAAUUUUGCGAUCGUCAUUCCAAGUUUCUUGUAAAAUCACCGACUCCCAUUGAUCGGCAUAAGUUUGUUCUUAUCCAUCUUUUUAAGGCUUUUGGGUACUUCGGAACCCUAAAUUUUUGGGGAGUACUAUGCUGGUCGUACUGAAGAAAUUUUGAUUUUCGUAACUGUCGCUUUCUGUUUCUUUUAUUUUUUCGCUCUCGAUUUGGAAUUCGGAAAUUAGGAGAUGUCUAAAUGAUUUCAUAGCUAGCCAGAGCCACGAAGCCGGAUAAGGUUGAGGUUUCGGCUGGUUCUAGGAAUUUACUGUAGGAUGGCUUAGCAUGCAGUUGGUUGUGUGACAUCAGAGACUGUCAUGCUGGAGAAGCAAGGUUCGGAUGAAUUUCUUUCAAAAAUUAAUAAGGAUCCAUAGCCUCACUUGAUAUCCUCUUUUGCAUCUCCUGAUUCUCCUCGCUGAAGGUACAUGCAGUUUUUGUAAUAUUUUCUGUGAGUUUUUCCAGAGGAUUUUUCCAAGUAAUUGAUAUCAUGUGUGCCCUUGAGCUAAUCUUAACUCACUGCCUGAACCUUGCGUUCUUCUCUAAGUAUUUUGGCUCUGGAAAUGUAACCGAUGGCCUGAAGUUGUUGAUUUACAAGACUUGUGGGGGCCAUGGAUGAGUGAGAUGGCGAGAUUACAAGCUUCGAGAGAGGGCUUUUACUACAUACAGUAUUUGAUUGAGAAACAUAGAGGAAUAAGUAUGGAUUCUCCUACCCUAGCUUCACUUGAGGCGGUUUUUUUAGUAAAUCAAUUUCACAGCUCAUAAUGGAUUCCAUGGUCACAUUUGAUUUGAAAGAGUUAAUCGACUGGUUGAUUUUCAGGCCAUGAUAGAUUUGAUGGGAAUGAUACUUUUGAUUGAGAAAGGAACAAAUCUUGAGGUAUUACUGGUCGCAUGACUGUGGAUGCAUCCCAACCAAUGGGAGAAGAGAGCCUUGCCGAAUGGCUGCUGCUUUUGUAGUGGACUAGGAAAACCACAAUUAUCAUAAUUCAUAUAAAGCAUGAAUUUCCUCACUUGCCGAAUGGGUAGGGAGAAAAGAGAAUAAUGGAUUGGCACAUGAAAUAACUAGUAGCUGAAGCUUCUUAGAGUUCCAUGAUUCUUGAAGGAAUUUUAGAUCUGAAGAAGUUUUUUCUCAGUAUGAUGAGCACAAGAGUUUCACCAGAGGAGAAAACUCUUGUCGAAAACAAGGCUCUUGAGGCUUUGAAGUUCUGAGCUUGUUGAUUUUAGAAGGCAACGGACCCCACCAUCCCAUAGAAGAUACUAAUGAUAAGACUUUUAUAGGUUCUAAUCGUUGCCUCGGUCUCGGUUUGGAGGGUUGGCAAUCUCUUAGCUCUUGAAUUGGCGGGUUCUAAUCUCUAUAUUCUUUGGCAGUUCCACCGCUUCGAUCAUCUCUUCCUUCUUCUUCAUCCCCUCGACGGCAGCCGUUGUUUCUCCGUCCUUUGUCUAUGGCUUCCGAUUCAAAUUGUGGUGGUGGGAGGGAUUUUAGGGUUCGACAACCGAGGGAAAGGCGCCACAAAAGUUCCCAUGCCUAGGUUUUCGAUUCCGUUGGUUUUGUCCAUCUUACACAUGUCCGAUCCGUGAUGUGAAUUUACGCGCACUGAAAGAUCUCAUUCGAGAGAGUUUUAGUUUCUCAUGCUGCAGUGUAUUGUACUGGUUCUAAUUGCAUGAGCCUAGAUUUGGAGGGUUUGUAAUCUCUUGGCUUCUGAUUUGGAGGUUUCUCAAUCCCUAGAUUCUCAAGUUUGCAGUGCAGGAUGAUUGGUUUUCCUCCAACAAGGUGCAAGUUUAUUUUCCUUCCAUAUACUCAUUGAAGUUUCUUACCAAAGAAAUUGGGAACAGAGUUGGCGUAUGUUUCGGCACAAUAUGGGUCUUUUUGUUGCUGACAUUAUCAUUAUUUGGAAGUGUCGCUAAAGGCAGUGUGGAAGGUCUCAGAAGUUCUAUAAAAUAAUCCUUGAGAUGAAAAAAUUUGAGUGAGGAACUUAGAGGAGCAAGAAGGGAUUCUUCUACCGGGCCCGCGGGUAAAAAAGAUUCAGAAUAACGGUGAACAUUUAAUGAGGCACGUUGCAGCAAGUGUUCAAAAGCAUAUGGAUGAACAUAUUUUCGAGGAAAAGAUAUUUUCUAUCAGAGCAUUAUUGUUGGUGGCGAGGCGAUCUAGGAGAAUAGCCAUGGAUGAGGCUAAUUAGGAAUUAACUUCUCUUGUGCAUGUCUAGGAAUUAACUUCUCUUGUGCAGAUAUUUUCUAUCACAGCAUUAUCGUUAGGUAUUCAUUCCAUCUCCAUGAGAUCAAAAGCCGAAUCCUCAUGGUUCCAUCGAGCUGUAAUGGUCCAGUAUUUGAGUAAGUUCAAUUUAUUCUAUUGGUAGUAAAUUUAUUCAAUUUUAUUUAAUUGUUGUGGCUUCUUUGGCUGUACCAGAUAGGAUACUGUUUUGAAGGAAGUUAGGGCUUAUUGUCUUGGAGUUUGUUGUUUCAUGUCGUAGGUUAUGUUCUAGUCAAGUGGUUCGAGUUUAGUUGUUUGUGGCAUCAAUUGGAAAACAACGAUAAUUUAGAUUGUGUCUAAAUUUUUUGUGCUUUUUACUAACAGUAACAUAACUGGUUUGAUCAAUGAAGUAUAAGAUCUCUGCGUGGGCACAUAAGAACUCAUGCUUUGUUCCUUUACAGCUGACAAACAUUGUGCAACAUUUUUUCUGCAUCUUCUCUGUUUUUUUUUUCUUUUUCAAGUAUUCAUUAAUGAUUGGCUAAAGGUCCUUAACAUUUGAAUUUGUGUUAUUUGAACUCUUCAGUUCUUUUCUUGCUUGCAAACUCGCACUUUGUGUUUUCACUUUCCAUUUCUAUUUGCUGAUUUUAUAUUUUAACUUGUUGUUGAUUGAACCCACAUAUCAUCAUUUUUUUAGUAUACAUAUCAUCAUGUUAUUCACUCACUUGAGAUACUUGCAGCUAAGUGCAAAUUUGUAGGUUUGUAAUAAUUAGUACCAUUUAUUGUGAUUCUUUUUGUGGCUCUCUUGGUUUCUUUGGCUUAUGUUUUUGUAUUGCCAUAUUCAUCCCUUUUUUUUGUUUUACGAUUUAUGAUUUAUUGGCUAAUCUUCAUGAAUUUGUUACCUAAUUGAGUGAACUUUCUAGAGUUUUAAGGUUAGUGCAAGAACUCUGUUUAUUGAAUCCAUACUUCUUGGAGCUUGCUAGAAUUUCCAUGUCUUAAGGAUUUCUAUUGAACCUUUUGGUUGAUCUCAUAUUGAAUGUAUUUUUUGUAGAGUAUGAAGAUUAGCGGAAGAUGAUCUUCAAUUCAUAGAAAAAAUCCAGCCAAUUUGAGAUCCACCUAUAGGUUACCCAUAGAAAAUUUGUCUUUUACCAAAGAGUAUGAAUUUCCUAGAGCGGAUCUUUUUUAGGAUUUAAAGAUUUGUGGGUUAUAGUCUUCAAUCUCUUAUGAAGUUCGUGUCAUUGGGUUGGACACAGUUUUGCCAUCGAUUUAUGGUUUAUUGCCUAAUCUUCAGGGGUUUGUCAUCUAAAUGAGUGAACUUUCUAGAGUUGGAAGCUUGGUUGGAGAUAAUCUUCAAUUCUCUUUAUGGAAUCCAUACUUUUUGGAGAGAGUCAAAUUUUUCAUGUCUUAAAGAUUUCUAAUGUAACCCCUUGGUUGAUCUCAUAUUGAAUGAGUUUUUUGUAGUGUAUGGAGAUUAGCGGAAGAUGAUCUUCUAUUCAUAGAAAAAAUCUACCCAAUUUGAGAUCCACCUACAGGUUACAUUAGGAUUAUUUAACCCAUGGAAAAUUUGUCUUUAACCGAAUAGUAUGAAUUUCCUAGGAAGUGGAUCUUUUAUAGGGUUUAAAGAUUUGUGGGUUAUAGUCUUCAACCUCUUAUGAAGUUUGUGUUAUUGUGUUGGACACGGUUUUGCCAUUGAUUUAUGGUUUAUUGCCUAAUCUUUAAGGGUUUUUUUUAUCUAAUUGAGUGAUUUUUCUAGAGUUUUUGCUUCAAUUCUUUUUACAUAAUCCAUACGUUUUGGAGAGAUUCAAAAUUUCCUUGUCUUAAAGAUUUUUAACGUAACCCUGAGGUUGAUCUCUUAUUGAAUGGACUUUUUGUAGAGUAUGAAGAUUAGCGGGAGAUGAUCUUCAAUUCAUAGAAAAAUCCGCCCAAUUUGAGAUCCACCUAUAGUAAACAUUAGGAAUCUUUAACCCAUGGAGAAUUUAUCUUUAACCGAACAGUAAGAAUUUUCUAGGGAGAGGAUCUUUUGUAUGGUUUAAAGAUUUGUGGGUUAUAGUCUUCAACCCCUUAUGAAGUUCGUGUUAUGUGUUGGACACGGUUUUGCCAUUGAUUUAUGGUUUAUU